GACGGAGGAUGCAAGCGUUAUCCGGAAUGAUUGGGCGUAAAGCGUCCGCAGGCGGCAGUUCAAGUCUGCUGUCAAAGACCGGGGCUUAACUUCGGAAAGGCAGUGGAAACUGAACAGCUAGAGUAUGGUAGGGGCAGAGGGAAUUCCUGGUGUAGCGGUGAAAUGCGUAGAGAUCAGGAAGAACAUCGGUGGCGAAGGCGCUCUGCUGGACCAUAACUGACGCUGAGAGACGAAAGCUAGGGGAGCAAAUAGG
Molecule: ribosomal RNA, 253 nt
Filed under: uncultured bacterium
Lineage: Bacteria
Description: partial 16S ribosomal RNA
Rfam family: Bacterial small subunit ribosomal RNA
Source: RNAcentral